RNAcentral lists this ribosomal RNA (279 nucleotides) under uncultured bacterium. RNAcentral's name for it is "partial 16S ribosomal RNA". It matches the Rfam family "Bacterial small subunit ribosomal RNA", at positions 506 to 784 of the family's 1533-position model. The record is from RNAcentral.
UGCCAGCAGCCGCGGUAAUACGGAGGGGGCUAGCGUUGUUCGGAAUUACUGGGCGUAAAGCGCACGUAGGCGGACUUUUAAGUCAGAUGUGAAAUCCCGGGGCUCAACCUCGGAACUGCAUUUGAAACUGGAAGUCUGGAGUUCAGGAGAGGUUAGCGGAAUACCGAGUGUAGAGGUGAAAUUCGUAGAUAUUCGGAGGAACACCAAACGCGAAGGCAUUCUGCUGGUCAUUACCUGACGCUGAGGGACGAAAGCGUGGGGAGCGAACGGGAUUAGAUA